This 301-nucleotide ribosomal RNA is filed under the name uncultured bacterium. RNAcentral's name for it is "partial 16S ribosomal RNA". It matches the Rfam family "Bacterial small subunit ribosomal RNA", at positions 509 to 807 of the family's 1533-position model. The record is from RNAcentral.
CAGUCGCCACGGGAAUACGUAGGUGGCAAGCGUUGUCCGGAAUUAUUGGGCGUAAAGGGCUCGCAGGCGGUUUCUUAAGUCUGAUGUGAAAGCCCCCGGCUCAACCGGGGAGGGUCAUUGGAAACUGGGAAACUUGAGUGCAGAAGAGGAGAGUGGAAUCCCACGUGUAGCGGUGAAAUGCGUAGAGAUGUGGAGGAACACCAGUGGCGAAGGCGACUCUCUGGUCCGUAACUGACGCUGAGGAGCGAAAGCGUGGGGAGCGAACAGGAUUAGAUACCCCCGUAGUCCCUGUCUCUUAUAC